UUAUUUUUUCUUCUACACUGAAUUAUACAUUUCUUUCAGAUGAGCACCAUGCCAGGCUUGCCUACGCGACCCUGUUUCUAUGACAUUGACCUUGAUCCUGUGACGGAGGAGAUAAAAGGACUCUUCUGAAGACAUUUCUACAGUCCCACACAUGCUUUCGACCAAUGUUCCUCAGUGUCCGUGUAGGCCUCCAUUCAUAUGCCGCUGAUAACAGCUCAUCCACUGCCUUCUAGCAAUGAAACUACUGAGUGUUAGAUCGACAAACAUUCCUUCUUAUGUUUUGCACAGGGUCUUUCUAUUCUUUUGCCUCUACAGGAUGCAGUCCCAUCAGAGACACCCUGUGAGGGUAGCAGUACUCAUUCAUACCCCUUUCAAAGAGAGGCCUGUUGCUUCUGUCAUUGAAGACACCCAUAAUUAGCUGACCAGCUCAGCUUGACAUUUACUCAAAUAUCCUCACACAAAAACUUGUAUUCUCUUGUACUUCGUCUCUUGGCUUAUGGAGGUUUUUUUUCUUUUGGGUACCCAAAAUGAAUGGCCAGUAGUCCAGGAUGUUAUUGUUCCAUGUUGUAAAAAAAAAA
Molecule: long non-coding RNA, 578 nt
Organism: Sinocyclocheilus rhinocerous
Lineage: Eukaryota; Metazoa; Chordata; Actinopteri; Cypriniformes; Cyprinidae
Exons: 3
Source: RefSeq, a predicted model, not a curated record